This 250-nucleotide ribosomal RNA is filed under the name uncultured bacterium. RNAcentral's name for it is "partial 16S ribosomal RNA". It matches the Rfam family "Bacterial small subunit ribosomal RNA", at positions 524 to 773 of the family's 1533-position model. The record is from RNAcentral.
UACAGGGGAUGCAAGUGUUAUUCGGAAUUAUUGGGCGUAAAGGGUCUCUAGGUCGAAAUUUAAGUCUUUUGUUAAAUACCAGGGCUUAACCCUGGCUCUGCAAAAGAAACUGAGUUUCUAGAGUAUGGUAGAGGUUUAGGGAAUUUCCAGUGGAGCGGUGAAAUGCGUAGAUAUUGGAAGGAACACCAAAAGCGAAGGCACUUAACUGGGCCAUUACUGACACUGACGGACGAAAGCUAGGGGAGCAAAC